Long non-coding RNA from Brassica napus (rape), 793 nucleotides. RefSeq lists it as uncharacterized. Lineage: Eukaryota; Viridiplantae; Streptophyta; Magnoliopsida; Brassicales; Brassicaceae. The record is from RefSeq and is a predicted model, not a curated record. The transcript is spliced from 2 exons.
UUGUUUCUUUUCAUUAGUAAGAUAUAAGUUUGUUUGAUAAUACAGUUGUGUUUCUUAUUAAUUUCGAACCCGGUUGGUUGGUUACAAGCGAUUAGUUUUGUAUAUAUGUGUUUGGUUGAGGUUCCAUUGUUUAUUUUGAUGGAGAGCUUUUGGUAAAGUUUGUAUUUUUAAUUCAUGAAUUUCUUUUUAGUUUACGAUCUUAUUUAUGGUUGAUACAGACUACGGGUUUCUUUCUUUUUGGUAAAACAUCUUCCUAGACUUGAGAUCAACGUAUUGUUUUACUAUAUACAUGUAUGUAUUUUGGAGAUUUCUUUUAGAUCAUUCACUAUGGUUUUAAACUGUGUUUACAUGUUAUUUUUUGGACCAGAAAGAAUUAGCUCAAAGGUUCGAGAGAGUAAGGUCUCUGGAUCUGCAUCAUACAUAACCAUGGUUUCUAGCUAGCAAGUUUCUUCUGGAACGUUGUGUAUUUGGAACUACCGGGUACAUGUGGGUGAAUAAUUUUAUUUUGUUUAUCUAUUUUCAUAUGCACAUGGUAACCAAACGUGCAAUUGAAAGAUUAUUUUCUUUAUGUAUUCUAUGAGGUUCACAGACUUCUCAUAGAUUUGUAGGAUGCUUUUAUGUUUUAUGGACCUUAUUAUAAUUAGGAUCUUGCUCGAUAAUCUUCUGGUGAUUGCUAAGUCUUUUGAGGUGACCGAAUUACCAAGUAUCUGAUCUUUUUUUCUUCUGUUUUAGUAAAAAUGUUUUAGUUUUAUUAUCUUUUUGCUAUAUGUUUUAUUUUUUCAUUAAUAUCACA